GCGGAAAUAGCUCAGUGGUAGAGUGUUGCCUUGCCAAGGCAAAUGUCGAGGGUUCGAAUCCCUUUUUCCGCU
RNAcentral lists this transfer RNA (72 nucleotides) under Chlorella vulgaris. It matches the Rfam family "tRNA". Rfam says of the family: Transfer RNA (tRNA) molecules are approximately 80 nucleotides in length. Their secondary structure includes four short double-helical elements and three loops (D, anti-codon, and T loops). Lineage: Eukaryota; Viridiplantae; Chlorophyta; Trebouxiophyceae; Chlorellales; Chlorellaceae. The record is from Rfam by way of RNAcentral. RNAcentral also lists the same sequence under 1 other name.